GAAGCUGGAAUCGCUAGUAAUCGCAGGUCAGCAUACUGCGGUGAAUACGUUCCCGGGUCUUGUACACACCGCCCGUCACACCAUGGGAGCCGGAAAUGCCCGAAGCCAGUGACCCAACCUUAGGGAGGGAGCUGUCGAAGGUGGAGCCGGUAACUGGGGUGAAGUCGUAACAAGGUACC
Molecule: ribosomal RNA, 179 nt
Filed under: uncultured bacterium
Lineage: Bacteria
Description: partial 16S ribosomal RNA
Rfam family: Bacterial small subunit ribosomal RNA
Source: RNAcentral